Molecule: unclassified non-coding RNA, 621 nt
Filed under: Hevea brasiliensis (rubber tree)
Lineage: Eukaryota; Viridiplantae; Streptophyta; Magnoliopsida; Malpighiales; Euphorbiaceae
Source: RNAcentral
UUUCCAUUUUACAUUGUGUCACUGUCAUAAUCAAGAAGAUGAUCAUAUAUUGACUUUCCUAAGUUAAAAACCUCAAGUAGUAUAAUAUGGCUGGGGAUGGCUAGGCUUCCAUCUUCAUUGUAGCGGAAGGCGUUGAGGAAAGUGGUAACAAGAUGGAGAGAGUUACUAAGCUGCCGGUAAUCCUGACCAUGUUUCUGGUGGUCCUUGCCUGGGAUGUUGAAGGAGGAAGGACACUUAAAGUUGACCACCCACAAAACUACUUUGGAAGCUUUGGUGGAACUGGUUCAGUCAUCCCAAGCCCUUUUGGUCCUACCAUUGCCCUUGGUCCAUCUGGGUUUUGCUCCUUUCCUGGGGUCGGUUGUGUAAGGGUCCGUCCCACUCUUCCUGGUGUUGGCGUUGGCUCACCACCAUGAGGAAGGGCAAGGUUAGGAAGAGGUUCUUUUGGGUUGUGGUAGUUUUUUUAAUUAUAUCCAAGUUUGCCAGAGUUUGGCGCCUUGUUUUAUGUAUUUUGUAAUGGGUUAUAAGGUUUGUGGUCUAGAAUGUGAGUGUGGUUAAUUAUCUAAUCUUGUUGAUCUAUUCCAUGGUUUUUAAUUAAUCAGUCUGUAAUGUUGGUAUUAGUAU